Molecule: ribosomal RNA, 320 nt
Filed under: uncultured eukaryote
Lineage: Eukaryota
Description: partial 18S ribosomal RNA
Rfam family: Eukaryotic small subunit ribosomal RNA
Source: RNAcentral
CCCCUAGAUGUUCUGGGCCGCACGCGCGCUACACUGAUUCAUGCAACAAGUUUUGUCCUUGGCUGAUAGGCCUGGGUAAUCUUUGAACGUGAAUCGUGAUGGGGAUAGAUGAUUGCAAUUAUUCAUCUUCAACGAGGAAUUCCUAGUAAACGCAAGUCAUCAGCUUGCAUUGAUUACGUCCCUGCCCUUUGUACACACCGCCCGUCGCACCUACCGAUUGAAUGGUCCGGUGAAAUCUCGGGACGGCGGCUUGGUCGCUUGCGUCCGACUGCUGAAACUUGAUUAAACCAUAUCAUUUAGAGGAAGGUGAAGUCGUAACA